UGUCGCUUUAAGGAGUAACCCUUCUGCAUCGGUUAUUAUUACCAUCUGACGGACCUAACGGUAGGCCACCCUACGCAUAGCUGGAAACUGGAAAACCAUUCGCUGGGUCCGUUCGCCACACACAGACACCCGUUCCCGAAACGUUACCGUUACAAAGGUCUACUAUCACGAGUGGUGACUACUUUUUCCGUCGACGUUGAUGUCGCUUCUUCCUCGGUAGAGAGUCGUUAUUUUUCUUAUAUUGAAUCGAGAGCUUAUCGCAAGACAAGAUGGCAGAGAUGGGGAUGGGGAAGGGGGUUACUGCGGGGAAACUUGCCAGUAACGUGCAGAAAAAAUUAACACGGGCCCAAGAGAAGGUAAUGCAGAAGUUGGGUAAAGCAGAUGAGACCAGAGAUGUUGCAUUUGAGGAAGGAGUGAUCAACUUCAACAAACAAUAUACCGAGGGAUCCAAACUGCAAAAAGACCUUAGAGCCUACCUGGCUGCAGUACAAACAAUGCACGAAUCCUCCAAGAACCUUCAGGAGUGUCUGUCUGACAUGUACGAGCCGGAGUGGUACGGCAAAGAUGACUUGGACUCUAUCGUUGAGGACACUGAUGUUCUGUGGACCGACUUCCAUCAGAAGCUGGUUGAUAAUGCUUUGAUAUCUAUGGACACGUAUCUUGGACAGUUCCCUGAUAUUAAGUCUCGUAUUGCAAAGCGCGACAGGAAGCUUGUGGACUACGACAGCGCCAGACACAACCACUCUUCGACCAAUAAGGGGAAGAAAGGAAAGGACGGGGGUAUCAAGAUCACCAAGCCAGCAUCUCUGUUGGAAAGGGCCACACCGGUUUGGGCUCAAGGCAUCCUGUCAGCCCACAACAUUGCUCAGAGUAACCUCUCCAGGAACCAGGCGGAGGACGAGUUGGAGAGAGCUCAGAAGGUGUUUGAGGAGAUUAAUGAAGAUCUGCAGGAGGAACUGCCCUCACUAUGGAACAGUCGAGUCGGCUUCUACAUUAGCACCUUCCAGAGUAUGUCUGGCUUUGAGGAGAAGUUCCACAAGGAGAUGGGGAAGCUCGACCAGAAUCUGUACGAUAUUCUUGUCAAACUGGAGAAACAGGACAUGUCUGGUGAGCUCCCCAGAGGAGCAGAUCCAGCCAAUCACACUCUGAGUCCAGGCGGACCACCACCCAUCCCUAAGUCCCCCUCUAAGCUGAGACCAGUGAUGCCGCCGCGGCCUGAAUCCAGCCCCUGUCGGGACAUGAAACCAGAAAACAUCAUUAACCUGUUUGAUGCUGCUGCUGCUCCUAACAUCAGUGUUACGUCCCCAACACAGUUUGACAGCACUGCAGGGGCCAACCUGUUGGACAUGGACCUGUCCAUCCUGGCUGCACCAAGUCAUGGUGGCACAGCCGUGUCCUCAGCCUCUCAGGCGGUAUCAUGGGACACAUGGGAGCCUGAGGAAACUCCUGCUCCACCGGAGGAGCCCCAGGGCUGGGGGGAUGACGGUACCCUGCCAGUGCGUGCUGCUGGCUGGGAUGAUGACGGUACCCUGCCGGUGCGUGCUGCUGGCUGUGGGGAUGACGGUACCCUGCCGGUGCGUGCUGCCGGCUGGGAUGAUGACGGCACCCUGCCGGUGCGUGCUGCUGGCUGUGGGGAUGACGGUAUAGCUGCCACCACUGCAGGCUGGGAUGAUGAUGGCUCUCUGCCUGUGAGGGUGGAUGACUCCUGGGGGGACGAUGGUGUUGCUGAUGCCACUGCUUCCACUGCCGUGGCCGAGUCUGAGGCUGCUGGUUGGGAUGAUGAUGAGCAGGGGGUGCCCCAGGCUGACACACUUACGACUCCUGCAGCCCCUACAGCUGCAGCACCUACACCUGCAGCAGCAGCACCAGAAGAGACCCCUGUUGUGGCAGCAGCAGCAACCAACGGGGAUUCAGAGACGGUAGAAAUGCCUCCAGGAUUCCUCUUCAAAGUGACCACCAUGCAUGACUAUGCCGCUAAUGACUCGGAUGAGCUGGAGAUGAAGGCUGGAGACAUAGUGCUGGUUGUGGCCUUCGACAACCCAGAAGAACAGGACGAGGGCUGGCUGAUGGGGAUGAAGCAGGAAGACUGGAUCCAGAAUAAACAGAGCUCGCUCAAAGGGGUGUUCCCCGAGAACUUCACCUCCAGGCUGUGAGAGAGGAGACGCCAUAUUUAUUCUCCUCUGACUUCUCUCUCGUCCACAAGAUCCUUUAUUAUCUCCUCUCCUUUCCUCUCCUCUCCUCUCCUCUCCUCUCCUCUCCUCUCCUCUCCUCUCCUCUCCUCUCCUCUCCUCUCCUCUCCUCUC
Oncorhynchus keta (chum salmon) is the source of this 2303-nucleotide RNA transcript. It is a transcript of the gene named myc box-dependent-interacting protein 1, with no coding region annotated. NCBI's taxonomy places the organism in Eukaryota, Metazoa, Chordata, Actinopteri, Salmoniformes, Salmonidae. The record is from RefSeq and is a predicted model, not a curated record. The transcript has 20 exons.